RNAcentral lists this ribosomal RNA (493 nucleotides) under uncultured bacterium. Its description in RNAcentral is "partial 16S ribosomal RNA". It matches the Rfam family "Bacterial small subunit ribosomal RNA", at positions 29 to 523 of the family's 1533-position model. The record is from RNAcentral.
AUUGAACGCUGGCGGCAUGCUUUACACAUGCAAGUCGAACGGUAACAGGUUAAGCUGACGAGUGGCGAACGGGUGAGUAAUGCAUCGGAACGUGCCCGAUCGUGGGGGAUAACGCAGCGAAAGCUGCGCUAAUACCGCAUACGAUCUGAGGAUGAAAGCGGGGGACCGUAAGGCCUCGCGCGAUCGGAGCGGCCGAUGUCAGAUUAGGUAGUUGGUGGGGUAAAGGCCCACCAAGCCGACGAUCUGUAGCUGGUCUGAGAGGACGACCAGCCACACUGGGACUGGGACACGGCCCAGACUUCUACGGGAGGCAGCAGUGGGGAAUUUUGGACAAUGGGCGAAAGCCUGAUCCAGCAAUGCCGCGUGCAGGAAGAAGGCCUUCGGGUUGUAAACUGCUUUUGUACGGAGCGAAAAGGUCCUUUCUAAUACAGGGGGCUCAUGACGGUACCGUAAGAAUAAGCACCGGCUAACUACGUGCCAGCCGCCGCGGUAA